AGUGAACGCUGGCGGUAGGCCUAACACAUGCAAGUCGAACGGCAGCACAGUAAGAGCUUGCUCUUACGGGUGGCGAGUGGCGGACGGGUGAGGAAUACAUCGGAAUCUACUUUUUCGUGGGGGAUAACGUAGGGAAACUUACGCUAAUACCGCAUACGACCUACGGGUGAAAGCAGGGGAUCUUCGGACCUUGCGCGAUUGAAUGAGCCGAUGUCGGAUUAGCUAGUUGGCGGGGUAAAGGCCCACCAAGGCGACGAUCCGUAGCUGGCCUGAGAGAAUGAUCAGCCACACUGGAACUGAGACACGGUCCAGACUCCUACGGGAGGCAGCAGUGGGGAAUAUUGGACAAAGGGCGCAAGCCUGAUCCAGCCAUACCGCGUGGGUGAAGAAGGCCUUCGGGUUGUAAAGCCCUUUUGUUGGGAAAGAAAAGCAGCAGGUUAAUACCCCGCUGUUCUGACGGUACCCAAAGAAUAAGCACCGGCUAACUUCGUG
This 492-nucleotide ribosomal RNA is filed under the name uncultured bacterium. RNAcentral's name for it is "partial 16S ribosomal RNA". It matches the Rfam family "Bacterial small subunit ribosomal RNA", at positions 29 to 507 of the family's 1533-position model. The record is from RNAcentral.